AGCAUCCACUUAAAAGUAAAAAGCUAACUCAAACCACCACCCAACGGCACUUUUGUUUCUCAAACUACACUCCAUACCUCCACAUACAAGUUACUCAAUGCCCUAGUGAAUCAGUGAUCAUCAAGAGUAUAUUAUAUAGGACGCAACAAAAUGUUACUCAUUACACUUUUCAACAUCCAACAGUUCGUGCAAAACAAAAGACAGCAAAAAUGCAGCAUGCUGAAAUCUUUGCAGUUAUAUAUAUGACAAGUAUCUAACCCAGCAUUAGAAGCAGCUCUUUCUUAAUGUGUAUGUUAGUCGGGGACUGUGUAGACACAGGAAUAACUUGCAUUUGGGAUGUACAACCAAAAUACUUCGCCACAAAAAAUAUAAUUAAUCAGCAGCUUUAGGUCCUUCCUUUGCCAUGCAUCCAUCUCUUGACCAGCAAAAGAUUCUUCCAAGAUUCAAAUGAUAUGCCGAUUACUCCUGUUCGGGCUACUUUCUCGCCAGGAUUCUCUACAUGCUUGCCAUAUGCAUAACAUCGGUUCCAUUUCCUUCCAAUUUGAGAAAUCACCAAAGACUUCUAAAUUAAAAUGUAGAAAACCUAAAAAACAAUGAGCAAAUAACAACCUCGUUCUUCAAGCCAUCGUAUACUCAUUGAUUUUCUAUUUGUGAAAGUACAUCAACAAAUGUUUAGAAAUUAUUAAGAAAACUACAGAAAUUGUUGGCUGAAUGAAAGACCUAUUUUGUCUCCAUGAAGGGACAAGCAGUGAGUUUAGACUUACAAUCAACCGAAUCUCCAAGGUAACAUGAUGGAGAAGUCAACUGUAAGAUAUUCAAAAGAUCAAAGGCAGUACCCUUGCAUG
RNAcentral lists this long non-coding RNA (845 nucleotides) under Citrus sinensis (sweet orange). RNAcentral describes it as "long non-coding RNA (CSIN_LNC000737)". The record is from RNAcentral. Lineage: Eukaryota; Viridiplantae; Streptophyta; Magnoliopsida; Sapindales; Rutaceae.